GGCCCAUCAACAAGCUCAUCUGUUCUUCUACACCACACAUAUAUUGCCCAUAUAGCUCUUCGCCUUUCAGAGGUCAUUAACAGAGUUCCCAAGUAAAAUGUCUUGGCAUACUCAGCACAAACUUNGUCCAGAACGAUCGUAAGCGUCGCUCAACAAGCUCAAAGUCCCUGGAAGCACAAUAUCUGGUUUGACGUCAGGAUCCUCACUAGACCUCAAUUGCCUUUUAACCAAGGCUGCUUGCUUCAGCACC
Molecule: unclassified non-coding RNA, 250 nt
Filed under: Hevea brasiliensis (rubber tree)
Lineage: Eukaryota; Viridiplantae; Streptophyta; Magnoliopsida; Malpighiales; Euphorbiaceae
Source: RNAcentral